UCUAAUACCGGAUAGGACCACGGGAUUCAUGUCCUGUGGUGGAAAGCUUUUGCGGUGUGGGAUGAGCCCGCGGCCUAUCAGCUUGUUGGUGGGGUAACGGCCUACCAAGGCGACGACGGGUAGCCGGCCUGAGAGGGUGUCCGGCCACACUGGGACUGAGAUACGGCCCAGACUCCUACGGGAGGCAGCAGUGGGGAAUAUUGCACAAUGGGCGCAAGCCUGAUGCAGCGACGCCGCGUGGGGGAUGACGGCCUUCGGGUUGUAAACCUCUUUCACCAUCGACGAAGGUUCGGGUUUUCUCGGAUUGACGGUAGGUGGAGAAGAAGCACCGGCCAACUACGUGCCAGCAGCCGCGGUAAUACGUAGGGUGCGAGCGUUGUCCGGAAUUACUGGGCGUAAAGAGCUCGUAGGUGGUUUGUCGCGUUGUUCGUGAAAUCUCACGGCUUAACUGUGAGCGUGCGGGCGAUACGGGCAGACUAGAGUACUGCAGGGGAGACUGGAAUUCCUGGUGUAGCGGUGGAAUGCGCAGAUAUCAGGAGGAACACCGGUGGCGAAGGCGGGUCUCUGGGCAGUAACUGACGCUGAGGAGCGAAAGCGUGGGGAGCGAACAGGAUUAGAUACCCUGGUAGUCCACGCCGUAAACGGUGGGUACUAGGUGUGGGUUUCCUUCCUUGGGAUCCGUGCCGUAGCUAACGCAUUAAGUACCCCGCCUGGGGAGUACGGCCGCAAGGCUAAAACUCAAAGGAAUUGAUCGGGGGCCCGCACAAGCGGCGGAGCAUGUGGAUUAAUUCGAUGCAACGCGAAGAACCU
This 810-nucleotide ribosomal RNA is filed under the name Mycobacterium sp. FL02-74-101. RNAcentral describes it as "bacterial SSU rRNA". It matches the Rfam family "Bacterial small subunit ribosomal RNA", at positions 162 to 971 of the family's 1533-position model. Lineage: Bacteria; Bacillati; Actinomycetota; Actinomycetes; Mycobacteriales; Mycobacteriaceae. The record is from RNAcentral. RNAcentral also lists the same sequence under 1 other name.